UCUGAAAAGAGAGUCAGCAAAGGGAGAUAGGGGUACAGCAGUUUUAUAGGAUUUGGGUAGGUAGUGGAAAAUUACAGUUAAAGGUGGUUAUCUCUUGUGGGCAGGGAUGGGGAUCACAAGGUGCAGGGUGGGGAGAUCAUGAGACUCAUUGUCUAGGGGAGGAAUGUCACAAGGUUGAUGGAUUAGUUGGGGUGGGGCAGGAGCAAAUCACAAUGAUGGAAUGUCAUCUUUUGUGGUUCUUCAGUUGCUCCAGGCCCUCUAGAUGUAUACGUGCAGGUCACAGGGGUUAUGAUGGCUUAGCUUGGGCUCAGAGGCCUGACACCAGAGAGUUGGCCAACACCCCGGUACAGUUGGCCAGCUGCACUAGAGCUGCUUUGUUCUCCUGAUUUGAAUUUCAGUGGUUUCUUACAGUUUUUGCUGCUGCUGUAGAGCAUUUAAGCAGGAAGGGAUCCAGUUCAGCCAUCCAGGGACUGGCACCCAAGUUCUUGUUGCAGGUAGCAGGGACCAGCUUGCAAGCUUGAAGUGUGCAGAUGGAACACAGAGCACUCCAGCCACCCAGGCAGAUAUCAGAGGAUGGGCCCUCAGGCACUGAUUCCUGUCUGUCACCUGGGAGAGGCUCCCUGAGGCCAGGUGGAAAUCAUACCCGGAUGCCACCAGAAUGAUGAUUCAGCCCUUUCCGUGCUUGUUCCAGAGGGGAAGCCCAUGAAAGGAGGACAGCCAGUGCUCUCCUGUGUGCCACGUUCCAGAAGCUCAGUCUCACUCUGUCGCGCAGGCUGGAGUGCAGUGGCACGAUC
RNAcentral lists this long non-coding RNA (794 nucleotides) under Homo sapiens (human). RNAcentral describes it as "HSALNT0398295". Lineage: Eukaryota; Metazoa; Chordata; Mammalia; Primates; Hominidae. The record is from RNAcentral.